Molecule: long non-coding RNA, 510 nt
Organism: Spinacia oleracea (spinach)
Lineage: Eukaryota; Viridiplantae; Streptophyta; Magnoliopsida; Caryophyllales; Amaranthaceae
Exons: 5
Source: RefSeq, a predicted model, not a curated record
CGAUUGAGGCCCUGUGCGAUUAGCAGAGGCCCUGUGAGUCAGGGUGAAGAGCUUCAUGGUGAAUUCAGUCAGGGUGAAGAGCUUCAUGGUGAAUUCAGUCAGGAUCCUCGCCUAGAAGUAUCCGCUGUUUUGGCAGAACCGAUGCUGCAACUUGAAAGCCACAGGCUGAUUCUUCAAAAGGUAAUGGAAGGACCAAAGCAAAGUAUUCAGGAAUAAGUUGGGAGUUUUUUGCUGCCGCAAAAGUUUCUUCAUCGUCUCCCACACCUGAUCUUCCGGAGAUUGCAUUUGCUGGUCUGUGCUAUUCUCUUUGCAGGAGGUGAUACAGUUGCUAAUAUGUACCCUUUAGUCUGUUCGGUGCUAAUACAGUUGGACCAAAUGCCGAGUUCAGAACAUGAGGGUUAAAACAAUGACAAACUCUAAAGAUCCGCCCAAAGCUCUCAGUUCCAACAGUGCACAAUAUCUCUUUUUUUUUCAGGAAGUCCAGCUUCUCGAUCUGUGGAGUUUCUCAAA